This 23-nucleotide non-coding RNA is filed under the name Cricetulus griseus (Chinese hamster). The record is from RNAcentral. Lineage: Eukaryota; Metazoa; Chordata; Mammalia; Rodentia; Cricetidae.
GAUGACAAGGGGAUGAAGAGCGA